This 408-nucleotide ribosomal RNA is filed under the name uncultured delta proteobacterium. RNAcentral describes it as "bacterial SSU rRNA". It matches the Rfam family "Bacterial small subunit ribosomal RNA", at positions 138 to 523 of the family's 1533-position model. The record is from RNAcentral. Lineage: Bacteria; Deltaproteobacteria.
GGGGGAUAACAACCCGAAAGGGUUGCUAAUACCGCAUACGUCGAGAGAUUUUUCAGAGUCUCUCGAGAAAGGUGGCCUCUUCAUGAAAGCUACCACCGAAGGAUCAGCCCGCGGCCCAUCAGCUAGUUGGCGGUGUAAUAGACCACCAAGGCAAAGACGGGUAGCUGGUCUGAGAGGAUGAUCAGCCACACUGGAACUGAGACACGGUCCAGACUCCUACGGGAGGCAGCAGUGGGGAAUAUUGGGCAAUGGGCGAAAGCCUGACCCAGCCAUGCCGCGUGAGUGAUGAAGGCCUUCGGGUCGUAAAGCUCUGUGGGGAGGGAAGAAAAUACCUUGGCUAAUAUCCAAGGGAACUGACGGUACCUCCUUAGCAAGCACCGGCUAACUCCGUGCCAGCAGCCGCGGUAA